AAGAGGGUCCCCUCCCACUGCCAUCCAAGCCGCGAAGCGCGCCAGCCAAUGGGGACCUGGCGAGAAGAGGGGGGAGUGGGCGGGGGUUUGGGGCGGGGGCGCCCUCAAGCCUUUCUCCUCCCGGCUCCUGGCAGCACCGGACUGGGCACGGUCCCGUUACUUGCUAAGUUUGGCUAGGACUUUGGGGGCUUUCCUCGUAAUUGCCGGAGGUCUGCUCACCCCUGGGUGCCGAAAAAGGCGGGGGUCGCGCGGUGGUUGGGGAAGGCGCCCCGGGCUGGAUAAGAAGGGUCCUGGGGACCACGCCAAAGGAACGUGGGAGGAGGCGCACUGGUGGGAGGGGUGCGCGGCGGGCGCUGGGACACAGGGCUGCGCAGACUGGGAGCCGGUGGGGGGAGAGACCCUCGGCUAAAGGAGCAGGAAGAGGGGGAGUAAAGGAUCGAGCAUAUCCAGAGGCGGCGAGAAAGAAACAAAGAGCGCCUGAAAUUGGAGCGUGGGGUGGGGUCGCGCGCAGCGGAGAACGCAGGACUUGGACCUGUGGAGCCUCGCGCGCUGCCCGCUUCGAAAGGGGGGACAAUUAGGACCCUCGUCUUUUUUCUUCGUCUUGUCUUGAGGGUACUGUGCAGGGACUUAACGGACUCCGUCCGGCUUCGGACGGCCGGGGCUGAGGCGGUGGCCGAGAGAAGCCCAGGGAAGAGGGGCGGGGUCUGUGAGUCACUGAGGGUGACUCACUGCGCCCUGCUGGCCGGUAGAGGUUUAGGGGGCCUAGCAGUUCGAGGGAAACCGUUAGACGAGGUUGACUUAAGUCUCCGCGGGCCCCACGCUCAGUGUUUUGUUCUAAAUCUUACCCCACUUAGAGCUCGGCGGUCGCUUUGAUGUGUACGGUCCAGCCGUGGGGGAGCCAAGAGCACCCUUUAUUUUUAAGAAGUCGCCAAAUCGUGAUUUUGUUCCAAUGUGCGCACUUUUUAGAAGGAACUUUCCGCAGACCUUGGAGAGUCGCCAACUGCGGGUCUCCGGGCAGUUGGUGAUAGCUUUACUUAAAAAGUUCCCUCCCACCCUUCACUCCAGCCUCCUCUCGCUCUUCCCCCUCCCCCUAUGAAACCACACCCGACUUUUAAAAUGAUCUGCAGGUUCUGGGUAAAAGAGGAAAUUCGGCGUACAUAGUUUCAGAAUCAAAUUGAGAGAUCACUGCUUUUUUCUGCUGUAGUAGAAGUCAUUAACGGUAUAAUCUGAGCCAAUUACAGAAGUAAUUAGGUGUUGCUUUAAACCCCCAAUUUGAUUAAUGAGAUCAAAUGAAAGGCAGUCAUGUAACUCAAAUGACAGAAUGUUUGAGGAAAAUAGAUUUAUGUGUUAAUUUUAGGACAGAGCUGCGCAGUGCAGAAUUCUGAGGACUUGUCCGAGAAAUGUCACCAAUUCUUGUGGUCUGUUGUCAAGAAGAGGAUUUGUGCCUUUGGUCUUGGAGUGAGAGAGAUAAAGCUGUGGUCCAUGACAUGGAGAGAUUCCAUCACCUUAAGCUUUCUAGGAGAAAGACAUGCUUGUAGCCAUGUUUUAGGAAGAUCGUUCUGGCAUGUUGUGGAAGAUGAAUCAGGGAUACUGAAUUGAGGGCUGUUUGCAGCAGAUCAGG
Molecule: long non-coding RNA, 1621 nt
Organism: Loxodonta africana (African savanna elephant)
Lineage: Eukaryota; Metazoa; Chordata; Mammalia; Proboscidea; Elephantidae
Exons: 2
Source: RefSeq, a predicted model, not a curated record